Molecule: non-coding RNA, 1497 nt
Organism: Dermatophagoides farinae (American house dust mite)
Lineage: Eukaryota; Metazoa; Arthropoda; Arachnida; Sarcoptiformes; Pyroglyphidae
Source: RefSeq, a predicted model, not a curated record
CUCCAGAAUUCAAAAAAGUAAUCGAUCAAAGCCAUAUAGUAAAAAGUGGUAGAUUGUCAGAAUUUUGAUUGAAAAUAAACAUGUUUAUGUCAUUUUUUACAAACAAACACAAGUGUUUCAGACAGAUUUUCUAUCUGGCUAUAAUUUCCAAUAGUCCAAAAAAAGCUUUAUAUAAAUAUGGGCCAAUUGAAUCGUUGAUAAAGAAAAAAAAAAUAUCGGCAACAAAAUUUGGCCAUUCAUUUGACAAAGUUUGACGAAAAAAAACCCACUGAUUAUGAUACGUCAAUCGAUAAUCUGCAUUCUCGUUUGUUUAUGGCUGAUUCAGUUUUGUUCAUUGGUUCAUUCGAGUAAUGUUUAUUUAGAUCGUGAUCCAUUUUCUGGACAUCGUAAACCAGCGGAAUAUGCAAAUGAUGAUGUAACCGAAUCCACAUCAAAAUAUCGUGGACCAUCAAAUGGUGGACCACCAGCUCAUCAUCAUCGUAUGGAUUUCAAUGAUGAUGAUGAUGAUGAUGAUCAACCUAGUCCAAGACAAGAUGAAGAUGAUUAUCAUGAUGAUCAUUUUAUUCCACCUGGACAUCGUUAUGGUCAUAGAGGUCCAGGUCCGAAUUUUAUUCCACCUGGACAUCGUUAUGGUCAUAAAGGUCAUGAUUUUAUUCCACCUGGACAUCGUUAUGGUCAUAAAGGUCAUGAUUUUAUUCCACCUGGACAUCGUUAUCAAAGACGUCCACCUCAUGAUGAUAGAGAAAGUAUUACAAUUUGUAUACCAGAAGUUGUUUAUAUUAUUGUUCCUUGUACUAAUCAAACAGAUAAUCCAAUAACAUCGACCACACCAAUGGAUCGAACAACAACAACAACAACAACAACAACAACUGAACAACCAUGAUACAUCCACCAGAGAUAUAAAGGAAUUUGAGUAAUUGUCACUUUCUUUUGACAUUUUGAAAUUGACUGAUUGAUUGAUUUGGUUUGAUUUGAUUUACAAUAACAAAAUUAUUAUUAAAAAAAAAUUUGACAAUAAACAAUAGAUAGAUUGACAAUUUUUGUCAGAGCAAAAAAAAUUGAAUAAUCUGACAAUGCAAAACAUAUGCAAAAUGUGGAUAGAGCUUUAUUGGUUAUAUAAAUGGCGUUUUUAAAUCGAAAAAACAAAAAACAAAAAUUUUCAGUUUUGAUUUGUUUGUUGUUGCAUGAAUUGCAUUAGACAACAAAAAAAAAUGCGUCAAUUAUUCACCAUUCUUUUCAUUGGUUUAUUCAUCAUUCAACUUUGUUUGAUUAUUCCAUCAUGUGAUGCAAAUCGUAACAGACACCAUCAUCGAAGGCAUAACAAUCAUAGUGAAGGACAGCAAGGUGGUCAAACAAGAGGAGAAGGACAACAAGGUGGUCAAGGACAAGAAGGUGAAUAUGGCAAUAAUCGUUAUCCACCAACAUAUUUUUGGAACAAUCACGAAAAUGAACAACGUUAAAAUGUGAAAAAUAAAAAUAAAACAUUUGUCACAUACA